This is a non-coding RNA of Russula emetica, 88 nucleotides long. The record is from the annotation of a GenBank genome assembly. NCBI's taxonomy places the organism in Eukaryota, Fungi, Basidiomycota, Agaricomycetes, Russulales, Russulaceae.
GUCCCUGUCGAUUAGUGGUUAAAUCAUCACGUUGUGGCUUAGUUAGUGCAAAUCCGUGAAGCCAGCGGCUCGAAUCCGCUCAGGGACA